Molecule: ribosomal RNA, 445 nt
Filed under: uncultured bacterium
Lineage: Bacteria
Description: partial 16S ribosomal RNA
Rfam family: Bacterial small subunit ribosomal RNA
Source: RNAcentral
GUGAGGAAUAUUGGUCAAUGGGCGGGAGCCUGAACCAGCCAAGUCGCGUGAAGGAAGAAGGAUCUAUGGUUCGUAAACUUCUUUUGCAGGGGAAUAAAGUGCAGGACGUGUCCUGUUUUGUAUGUACCCUGAGAAUAAGGAUCGGCUAACUCCGUGCCAGCAGCCGCGGUAAUACGGAGGAUCCGAGCGUUAUCCGGAUUUAUUGGGUUUAAAGGGUGCGUAGGUGGUUUGAUAAGUCAGCGGUGAAAGUGUGCAGCUUAACUGUAAAAAUGCAGUUGAAACUGUCGGACUUGAGUGUAAAUGAGGUAGGCGGAAUGCGUGGUGUAGCGGUGAAAUGCAUAGAUAUCACGCAGAACUCCGAUUGCGAAGGCAGCUUACUAAGCUACAACUGACACUGAAGCACGAAAGCGUGGGGAUCAAACAGGAUUAGAUACCCGGGUAGUCC